Molecule: microRNA, 21 nt
Filed under: Marchantia polymorpha subsp. ruderalis
Lineage: Eukaryota; Viridiplantae; Streptophyta; Marchantiopsida; Marchantiales; Marchantiaceae
Source: RNAcentral
UCAAGUUCACUUGCAGGAGCC